GACGAACGCUGGCGGCGUGCUUAACACAUGCAAGUCGAACGGAAAGGCUCUGCUGUUGUUUGGUGCUCGAGUGGCGAAGGGGUGAGUAACACGUGAGUAACCUUCCCUUGACUUUGGGAUAACUUCAGGAAACUGGGGCUAAUACCGGAUAGGAGCGCCUGCUGCAUGGUGGGGGAUGGAAAGUUUCGGCGGUUGGGGAUGGACUCGCGGCUUAUCGGCUUGUUGGUGGGGUAGUGGCUUACCAAGGCUUUGACGGGUAGCCGGCCUGAGAGGGUGACCGGCCACAGUGGGACUGAGAUACGGCCCAGACUCCUACGGGAGGAAGCAGUGGGGAAUAUUGCACAAUGGGCGGAAGCCUGAUGCAGCAACGCCGCGUCCGGGAUGACGGCCGUCGGGUUGUAACCCGCUUUCGCCUGUGACGAAGCGUGAGUGACGGUAAUGGGUAAAGAAGCACCGGCUAACUACGUG
Molecule: ribosomal RNA, 468 nt
Filed under: uncultured bacterium
Lineage: Bacteria
Description: partial 16S ribosomal RNA
Rfam family: Bacterial small subunit ribosomal RNA
Source: RNAcentral